RNAcentral lists this ribosomal RNA (466 nucleotides) under uncultured bacterium. RNAcentral describes it as "bacterial SSU rRNA". It matches the Rfam family "Bacterial small subunit ribosomal RNA", at positions 355 to 825 of the family's 1533-position model. The record is from RNAcentral.
UCGGGAAUUUUGGGCAAUGGAGGGAACUCUGACCCAGCCAUGCCGCGUGCAGGAUGAAGGCGUUAUGCGUUGUAAACUGCUUUUAUAUAGGAAGAAAUAGUCCUUGCGAGGAAAGUUGACGGUACUAUAUGAAUAAGCACCGGCUAACUCCGUGCCAGCAGCCGCGGUAAUACGGAGGGUGCAAGCGUUGUCCGGAUUUAUUGGGUUUAAAGGGUGCGUAGGCGGUUUAUUAAGUCAGUGGUGAAAGACGGUCGCUCAACGAUUGCAGUGCCAUUGAUACUGGUAGACUUGAGUAUGAUUGAGGUAGCUGGAAUGGAUAGUGUAGCGGUGAAAUGCAUAGAUAUUAUCCAGAACACCAAUUGCGUAGGCAAGUUACUAAGUCAUAACUGACGCUGAGGCACGAAAGUGUGGGUAUCAAACAGGAUUAGAUACCCGAGUAGUCCCUGAGCGGGCUGGCAAGGCGCAU